AAAUUCACACCCAUUUGUUGAAUCAAUUACUUCAAUUAUAAUUUCUCUUUCUACAACAAUCUCUCUCUCUCUCUAAACUAAAUCAAAACCUAAAGGAAGCAAAAGAAUUUAAGAGAAACAGAGAUUUUGAACUUAAUAGAUGCGAGUUUCAUGGUGGAUAAUGACUUUUUCAACUUCACUUUAGAAGAGGAAGAGAAGGAACGGAAAACCGUUUUCAAUUUGAAGAGGCCAUUUUUCUUCUUCUCACUUCAAAAAUAUGUCGCCAACAAUUACUCGAACCGAAACUUAGAACACUUUGUUUCAUGUACGUCAUGCAUUCGUGCUUUUUCGUUACUCUUAAAUGGUAUUCUUCGUUCGAGACUC
This 363-nucleotide long non-coding RNA is filed under the name Olea europaea subsp. europaea. The record is from RNAcentral. Lineage: Eukaryota; Viridiplantae; Streptophyta; Magnoliopsida; Lamiales; Oleaceae.